UGCCAGCCGCCGCGGUAAUACGGAGGGGGCUAGCGUUGUUCGGAAUUACUGGGCGUAAAGCGCGCGUAGGCGGGCUGUUAAGUCGGGGGUGAAAUCCCGGGGCUCAACCCCGGAACUGCCUUCGAUACUGGCAGCCUAGAGAUCUGGAGAGGCGAGUGGAAUUCCGAGUGUAGAGGUGAAAUUCGUAGAUAUUCGGAGGAACACCAGUGGCGAAGGCGGCUCGCUGGCCAGAUACUGACGCUGAGGUGCGAAAGCGUGGGGAGCAAACAGGAUUAGAUA
This 279-nucleotide ribosomal RNA is filed under the name uncultured bacterium. Its description in RNAcentral is "partial 16S ribosomal RNA". It matches the Rfam family "Bacterial small subunit ribosomal RNA", at positions 506 to 784 of the family's 1533-position model. The record is from RNAcentral.